This 452-nucleotide ribosomal RNA is filed under the name uncultured Comamonadaceae bacterium. RNAcentral describes it as "bacterial SSU rRNA". It matches the Rfam family "Bacterial small subunit ribosomal RNA", at positions 927 to 1382 of the family's 1533-position model. Lineage: Bacteria; Pseudomonadati; Pseudomonadota; Betaproteobacteria; Burkholderiales; Comamonadaceae. The record is from RNAcentral.
AAGCGGUGGAUGAUGUGGUUUAAUUCGAUGCAACGCGAAAACCUUACCACCUUUGACAUGUACGGAACCCUUUAGAGAUAGAGGGUGCUCGAAAGAGAGCCGUAACACAGGUGCUGCAUGGCUGUCGUCAGCUCGUGUCGUGAGAUGUUGGGUUAAGUCCCGCAACGAGCGCAACCCUUGUCAUUAGUUGCUACAUUCAGUUGGGCACUCUAAUGAGACUGCCGGUGACAAGCCGGAGGAAGGUGGGGAUGACGUCAAGUCCUCAUGGCCCUUAUAGGUGGGGCUACACACGUCAUACAAUGGCAGGUACAGAGGGCUGCGAAGCCGCGAGGUGGAGCGAAUCCCAGAAAACCUGUCUCAGUCCGGAUUGAAGUCUGCAACUCGACUUCAUGAAGGCGGAAUCGCUAGUAACCGCGAAUCAGCAGGUCGCGGUGAAUACGUUCCCGGGCCUU